RNAcentral lists this long non-coding RNA (1275 nucleotides) under Vulpes vulpes (red fox). Its description in RNAcentral is "lncRNA (ENSVVUG00000012265.1)". Lineage: Eukaryota; Metazoa; Chordata; Mammalia; Carnivora; Canidae. The record is from RNAcentral.
CUUCCGACCUCUCCAGUCUUGGGAACACUCUCUGGGCGUCUCAGCCUUUCUCUACCACCCUUUCUCCCCACAGACCCCCUAGAGGAGCUCAGGUUUUCGGAAAGCGCAGUUAAAAGCGGUGGUUUGCAGGAACUGGGGGGGGAUGGGGGGGGACACAAAAUCAGCAUCUCAACAGAGCGUGCCGCGGGUUACCAGGCUGGGCGCCUGACGCCGAUCGUCUCGUUGGUUGCGGUCACCGAAGGCGGCAAGAAGCGCCCGGCCGGCUCCGGGUUCCAAACCGGGAGGUCGAGGCAGGCCGCGGGAGCGCUCCGCCAGGGCGGGGCCGCGGCCCAGGAGCAGCGUGGCCGGCAGGGGGCUCUCCGCGCCGGCCUCCGCGCGAGGACGCGCCGGCAGCCGCUCGGACCGGUUUCCAGGCGCAGACUUGCAACUCUGGUCACUGGAGAAGAUGGCUGUCUGCAGGACCCUGACCGUGUGAUCAUCCUUCUGGCCAGCCUGGCCUCUUGCUCCUUAGGCUCUGGUCAUCCCAGCUGGGCCUCCACAGCUCUCCCAGAGACAGUUUUUAAAGGGCUGGGUUUGCUCAGGAGCCUCAGCAUUCUUCCACCCAGGAGAAAGGACAGCGUCAAGGUGCUCCUAUUAAGCAGCCGGAGAACUACUCCGGCUCCGUGGCCACAAGUUAGAGCUGAAGAGAUUGUUGAGGCUCUGCCUUCAGAGCCCAGUCGAGAAGAUGCGACCAUCUGCAGCUGGCAGAAUUUUACAUCCGAUGCUUUUCCCUGCUGCUCAGAGUCAUCUUUUGAUCCUCAUUUUACAGGAUGGGCUGAGGCAUGAGUGGUCCGGAUACCCACCAGAAGACACAGCUAGGAUGGGCAGAGCUGGGGCUGACUCCCAGGGCCAGGGCUUUCAGUAAUAAUUACUUAUAAUUAGCAUUCGGUUCUAACAAGCAUAUCCUGAUGCUUACUAAUACUUAAGCAUUUGGUCAGCCAGUAUCCGGAGGUGCGUGGGUGGGUGCUGCUGUCUCAUGGAGGAGGUAUCUGCACCACAGGGAGGCUGGGUUCCCACCCCUGGGUCUUCCUGACGUGACUGCGCACCUGGCCAGCCUGCAUCCACAGCUGCCCCCAUUCAGCCUGCCAUGUGGCCCAGGAUCCCAGUUCUGGGCCGGGCAAGAUUUAACCCCAUUUUCAAAACACACCAGAGGCGUGGCCUAGGUAACGCAGCUGUGGCUGGCAGAGGCCCCUGGUUCCCUGCUCCCUGCCUGCACAGAGGUAUCUAGGAAAGAGC